Molecule: ribosomal RNA, 532 nt
Filed under: Alcanivorax sp.
Lineage: Bacteria; Pseudomonadati; Pseudomonadota; Gammaproteobacteria; Oceanospirillales; Alcanivoracaceae
Description: bacterial SSU rRNA
Rfam family: Bacterial small subunit ribosomal RNA
Source: RNAcentral
CACCCUGAUCCAGCCAUGCCGCGUGUGUGAAGAAGGCCUUCGGGUUGUAAAGCACUUUCAGCAGGGAGGAAGGCUUACUCUUAAUACGGGUGAGUACUUGACGUUACCUGCAGAAGAAGCACCGGCUAAYUUCGUGCCAGCAGCCGCGGUAAUACGAAAGGUGCAAGCGUUAAUCGGAAUUACUGGGCGUAAAGCGCGCGUAGGCGGUGUGUUAAGUCGGAUGUGAAAGCCCAGGGCUCAACCUUGGAAUUGCAUCCGAUACUGGCACGCUUGAGUGCAGUAGAGGGAGGUGGAAUUUCCKGUGUAGCGGUGAAAUGCGUAGAGRUCGGAAGGAACACCAGUGGCGAAGGCGGCCUCCUGGACYGACACUGACRCUSAGGUGCGAAAGCGUGGGGAGCAAACAGGAUUAGAUACCCUGGUAGUCCACGCUGUAAACGAUGUCUACUAGCCGUCGGGGUCCUUAGUGACUUUGGUGGCGCAGCUAACGCGAUAAGUAGACCGCCUGGGGAGUACGGCCGSAGGUUAAAACUCA